CACAGCAGGCAAAGCUGGCAAAACAAAUCACCUGUCUACAUCUCAUCUCUGUGCAAAUGUUAUGGUCAAAACUACCACUAGAUGGCAGUAGGGGGUUAGCUUUCAGAAGGAAUGACAGAACACUGAAAAUGGGACGGUGAGGAGAUCUGAGUCAGAAAUGGAGCAGAAGAUGCGGGGUGGGAAGGAGAACGCCAGCCAACUGUACUGUGGAUUAAGGUCCUGAAAGACUGAAUGCCAGCCGCCAAGGCCCUGCUGUUACAGUAUGACAAGCUUUAAGUCAAAGCCCUGCAGCCAAAAUAUAUCUGUUCGAGCAGAAGGUUCAUCCUUUCAAAAUGACGAUCUAGCUAAAUUAGGGUGAUGAGUGAGGUACCAGCUCAAUGAUUAAUGCCAUCUAAUCUCAUUAAACACCUCAAA
This is a long non-coding RNA of Scatophagus argus, 414 nucleotides long. RefSeq lists it as uncharacterized. Lineage: Eukaryota; Metazoa; Chordata; Actinopteri; Scatophagidae. The transcript has 3 exons. The record is from RefSeq and is a predicted model, not a curated record.